Long non-coding RNA from Cyprinus carpio carpio, 927 nucleotides. The record is from Ensembl. Lineage: Eukaryota; Metazoa; Chordata; Actinopteri; Cypriniformes; Cyprinidae.
AAAGAAAGAAAGAAAGAAAGAAAGAAACCUUUAAUUUCUUUUUUUUUCUUUUUUUCUUUUUUACUACAAAAAACCUACAGAAAUACAAUAGUACGGAGCCCCUCUGGUCCCACUUUGUCAAAAAAAAAAAAAAACUUAUCUUAAGAAUUAUAAAGGACUAUGGAUAUGCAGCCUACAAGAUUUACAUUACUGUAUUAACAGAAUUGAAUUGAUUGUGAUGAACAGUACUAGUAAAUAAAUAGAAGCAGAACUGCAGCAAACUAUAUUACACUGAAUAUUAAAACAGAGAAUAUUGCACAGAAUGUGAAGUAUUACAUUGCACUACAGUACAGGGUCCAGUUUAAUAACAAAGGGUCCAUGUGUCAGACACUUCACUAUCUUGAGGCCACGAGUUACUUAUCUUGAGGCCACGAGUUAGUAUCUUGAGGCCACGAAUUAGUUAUCUUGAGGCCACGAGUUAGUAUCUUGAGGCCACGAGUUAGUAUCUUGAGGCCACGAGUUAGUAUCUUGAGGCCACGAGUUACUUAUCUUGAGGCCACGAGUUAGUAUCUUGAGGCCACGAGUUAGUAUCUUGAGGCCACAAGAUAAGUUUUUUUUUUUUUUUUUGACAAAGUGGGACCAGAGGGGCUCCGUACAAUAGGGACAUUUAUCUGCUCAUCCCUAGUGAGCAGGUUGUUGCUAGUUACUAGUUUCACUUCUAAUGUGUGUCAUUCUCAUGAGUUUAUGUUGGCCAUGGAUACAAAAUGUUAACGUCUAAUUUAACUAACUCUAUGAUUGUUGCUUGCCUAGGUAUGCCAUAUAGAACUAUAACUUAAAAGACAUCCCGGAAUGAAAAUAUACUGUAUCUUCCUUAAUGUGUUUGUUCAACUGACCGCAAACACAGCUUGCAAAUAUUUUGAAGACCAUUAACCCACAGGUUUGUUUGCG